CUGGAACCUGCCUUUCGGACUCCCCAUCAGAAUGGGCAGAUUGCUGACUCUUGCUGGUUCUGCCCACCAGCUGACAUGCUACUUCGCCUGGCACCAGCCAGGCCCGGGGCACUUCCAGCCUGGCAUGACCCCUUCCUCUGUACUCACCCGACUUAUGCCAUUGCUGAGAGAUGUGGGAAAUGAGAUGGCACCAUUAAAUGAAAGGAUGUAACUCUCUGCCAAACUCUCCUUGAACUGAAAAACAAGAGUCAUGUGAAAACUCUCCCUGCUGUUGGCAGCUGGGAUUUCGGAGCCACUCCACGAACUUUUCAAGAUGAUUUUCUACACUGAUUUCACGACAAGGCUGUUGGGAUGACCAAGGCCUCACCCUGCCUUCUUUGGGCUGUUGGCUGCCACCGUUUCCACUACUGAGAACCCCCAGACUUCUAUCGCCUUAGGCACCAAAUUCCUGCGCCAGUAGGAGUUUGGAAGAACCCUGGCUCUCAGAAGCGCUCCUCAGGACAAGCGUCUCUUCCCCGUCCUGGUGCAGGUGAACUGUAUUCCAUUUGAUCUUGACUGGAAAGCAGACAACCAGUUUCUCAUGCAAGAAAACUGAGGCCACAUAGAAAGCCUAGCUCCUACAACCUCAGUUGGAGAGGAGGGAUCUGGAGACUCCAUUCCAGGGAGGAUGCGAGGAACGAAGGAUGGGAGAGACUAACUUAACUCAGAGUAGUGCUGGAAGUCAACGUUGAGUUGAUGUCCGCAGAUUUUCUUCUACGCAUGUGUGGAAUAUCCAUGGACGGAAAGCCGAGGAGAUCAACAAACCCAAGCUGAUGGUCACCGCUGCGGUAGCUGCUGGCAUCUCCAACAUCCAGUCUGGCUAUGAGAUCCCCCAGCUGUUCCAGUGAGUGAUAACAUGUCCCAUAACUCCUCUGUGUAUCAGUUGUGCAAGAGACACUCAUUCUUAGUCAGCCCGCUGUUCAGGAACCUUGUUUAGGCGGUUUGGGAAGUCUCAUCUUUUGCCUGCAUAGGAGUGGAAAGUAAUCAGAAAUGUCUUUGGGAGUUCCCGUUGUGGUACAGCAGGUUAAGAACCUGACCAGUAUCCAUGAGGAUGUGGGUUCGAUCCCUGGGUUAAAGGAUCUGGCCUUGCCACAAGCUGGGGGUGUAGGUCACAGAUGUGGCUUUGGUCCUGCAUUGCUGUGGCUGUGGCAUUGGCUGGCAGCUGCUGCUCUGAUUUGACCCCUAGCCUGGCAACUUCUAUAUGCCACAGGUGUAACUGUAAAAAGAAAAAUUUAAAAAAAGGAAAUAAAUAUCAGAGGCCAAAAAAUAAUAGAAUAUCUUUUAAACCCUAAAAAAAAAAAGUCAACCCAAUUCUGUGUUCAGUGAAAAUAUCCAAAAGUAAAGUUGAAAGACAUGUUUAGGUAAAUAAAAAAACAAAAAAGAAAUCCUUUACCAUACCUCAGGCACCUAGACUAGAUCCAUAUUGUGACUCAUGACCUCCAGGUUCCUGGGGUUGCGGGGGUGGCUACACUGGACAGAAGAGCUCUCUCUACAAAUACCCACCUGGCACUGGCAGUAUCACCAACCAUGUGGAGUCCCCGCACAGACCCAAAGGCAGACCAGGAAUGCUGCUGUAAAUCACAGGAAGGAUCAGGGACAAAAGGCAUCAUAAAUUUAGUAAUUUUGUUAAAUGAGAAAUCAGCCUGUUAUGUCAUUAGCCAGUUUCCACUUACUAAAAAUUCACCAAUUAAUUAAUACUGUACUGAUAAUUUUAUUAGAUAGGAAACAAGAUUAAAACCUGUGCUUUUUUUUAAAUAAAGAAGAUGAAGUACCAU
Molecule: long non-coding RNA, 1814 nt
Filed under: Sus scrofa (pig)
Lineage: Eukaryota; Metazoa; Chordata; Mammalia; Artiodactyla; Suidae
Description: lncRNA (ENSSSCG00005025850.1)
Source: RNAcentral